GGGUUGUGAGGUUAAGCGACUAAGCGUACACGGUGGAUGCCCUGGCAGUCAGAGGCGAUGAAGGACGUGCUAAUCUGCGAAAAGCGUCGGUAAGGUGAUAUGAACCGUUAUAACCGGCGAUGUCCGAAUGGGGAAACCCAGUGCAAUUCGUUGCACUAUCGUUAACUGAAUACAUAGGUUAACGAGGCGAACCGGGGGAACUGAAACAUCUAAGUACCCCGAGGAAAAGAAAUCAACCGAGAUUCCCCCAGUAGCGGCGAGCGAACGGGGAGCAGCCCAGAGUCUGAAUCAGCUUGUGUGUUAGUGGAACGGUCUGGAAAGUCCGACGGUACAGGGUGAUAGUCCCGUACACCAAAAUGCACAGGCUGUGAACUCGAAGAGUAGGGCGGGACACGUGGUAUCCUGUCUGAAUAUGGGGGGACCAUCCUCCAAGGCUAAAUACUCCUGACUGACCGAUAGUGAACCAGUACCGUGAGGGA
Molecule: ribosomal RNA, 479 nt
Filed under: Klebsiella pneumoniae
Lineage: Bacteria; Pseudomonadati; Pseudomonadota; Gammaproteobacteria; Enterobacterales; Enterobacteriaceae
Also listed under: 1 other name
Description: partial 23S ribosomal RNA
Rfam family: Bacterial large subunit ribosomal RNA
Source: RNAcentral